AUCUCAGAUAAACCAUAUAUUAUAUGAGAUUCUUUGUGUGUGUGUGUGUGUGUGUGUGUGUGGGUGGGUGUGUUUAUGUUGAGAGGAAGUUUUGGUGAGUGGUCUGGCUUCAAUAGGUCAUGCAUCAUUUUAUGUGUUUGGUCAUGUAAGUACUAGCUUUUAAAGAUUCCUUCUCUGAUUGAAGGCAAGAAGACCAAGGAAGAAUAUGUAAUGACAAACAGUUAAAAUUACAUGAUUGGAAUAAAACGAAAGGUUUGUAUUAUCAUUUUAUAAACAAUAUGUCCAAGUUUUUUUUUUUUACACGGCAGGAUCAUUCGCCACCACUUAGGUUUGAAUCCGAGACCUCUAAUUUGAAGAGGAGGCCUGCCAACCAGUUG
This 377-nucleotide long non-coding RNA is filed under the name Phoenix dactylifera (date palm). RNAcentral's name for it is "long non-coding RNA (PDAC_LNC005360)". Lineage: Eukaryota; Viridiplantae; Streptophyta; Magnoliopsida; Arecales; Arecaceae. The record is from RNAcentral.